RNAcentral lists this ribosomal RNA (253 nucleotides) under uncultured bacterium. RNAcentral describes it as "partial 16S ribosomal RNA". It matches the Rfam family "Bacterial small subunit ribosomal RNA", at positions 524 to 776 of the family's 1533-position model. The record is from RNAcentral.
UACGUAGGGGGCUAGCGUUGUCCGGAAUCAUUGGGCGUAAAGAGCGUGUAGGCGGCCCGGUAAGUCCGCUGUGAAAGUCGGGGGCUCAACCCUCGAAUGCCGGUGGAUACUGUCGGGCUAGAGUGCGGAAGAGGCGAGUGGAAUUCCUGGUGUAGCGGUGAAAUGCGCAGAUAUCGGGAGGAACACCAAUGGCGAAGGCAGCUCGCUGGGACGUGACUGACGCUGAGACGCGAAAGCGUGGGGAGCAAACAGG